GGAAGAUGGAGUUUCGAGUCAAUACUUAAUCAAGGCAAUUGCGAAUGCUAGCAAGGUUCCAGGAACUUUUGUUCCAGACUUGACUGAAUCAGAAGUUCCAGAUGAAUAUGAAAAGAAUUUUGAUGAAGAGGAAGAGCUAAAGCAACUUCUCAGUGGGAUUAUAUGCUUCAAAGUGUAUCCUUUCUCAAGUGACUCGUCUAAUGUAGAGAGGAAAAUAAUCCUGUCUGGUUCCUUUAAUCCAUUGCAUGAUGGUCACCUUAAGCUCUUGGAAAUUGCGACCAGUAUAUGCGGUGGUGGAUAUCCAUGUUUUGAGUUGUCAGCUGUCAAUGCAGACAAACCUCCAUUGGAAAUACCUCAAAUCAAUGAUCGUGUUAUACAAUUUGAAAAAGUUGGAAAGACGGUCAUAGUGUCUAACCAGCCAUAUUUUUACAAGAAAGCAGAACUUUUCCCUGGGAGUGCUUUUGUCAUUGGUGCAGACACAGUUGCAAGACUUGUACAUCCAAAGUACUAUGGUAAUGACUAUGGAAAGAUGUUGGAGAUACUUCUGGGAUGUAAAAACACGGGAUGUACUUUCCUAGUGGGUGGUCGGAAUGUUAAUGGAAUUUUCAAGGUUCUUGAGGAUUUCGACAUCCCAGCAGAGCUAAAAGACAUGUUUGUGCCUAUACCAGUCGAGAAAUUCCGUAUGGAUAUAUCAUCCACUGAAAUUCGAAAGACUCAAGGACUCUUGUAAGCCCAUUUGCAUUAUUUUCACUCAGGUAUCUGCAUUGGUUCCGUUUAAACAAUUAGUUCUAUCUAUGUAACAUGAAAAUAAGCGCCAAAAAGGAAAAAAACCGAAAGCUUAUCCAUUUUCAUCGUUUGCUCUUUCCAGUCUCAACAGAACUGAGAAUGUGUGGAAUUGUUGUUCUCUGAUUUGAGUUUCCUUACUAACA
RNAcentral lists this unclassified non-coding RNA (929 nucleotides) under Hevea brasiliensis (rubber tree). Lineage: Eukaryota; Viridiplantae; Streptophyta; Magnoliopsida; Malpighiales; Euphorbiaceae. The record is from RNAcentral.